Molecule: ribosomal RNA, 253 nt
Filed under: uncultured bacterium
Lineage: Bacteria
Description: partial 16S ribosomal RNA
Rfam family: Bacterial small subunit ribosomal RNA
Source: RNAcentral
UACGUAGGGGGCAAGCGUUGUCCGGAAUCAUUGGGCGUAAAGAGCGUGUAGGCGGCCCGAUAAGUCCGCUGUGAAAGUCCAGGGCUCAACCCUGGAAAGCCGGUGGAUACUGUCGGGCUAGAGUCCGGAAGAGGCGAGUGGAAUUCCUGGUGUAGCGGUGGAAUGCGCAGAUAUCAGGAGGAACACCAAUAGCGAAGGCAGCUCGCUGGGACGGUACUGACGCUGAGGUGCGAAAGCGUGGGGAGCAAACAGG